UACGAAGGGGGCUAGCGUUGUUCGGAAUUACUGGGCGUAAAGCGCACGUAGGCGGAUUGUUAAGUGAGGGGUGAAAUCCCAGGGCUCAACCCUGGAACUGCCUCUCAUACUGCCAGUCUAGAGACCGAGAGAGGUAAGUGGAACUCCUAGUGUAGAGGUGGAAUUCGUAGAUAUUCGGAGGAACACCAGUGGCGAAGGCGGCUCACUGGCUCGAUACUGACGCUGAGGUGCGAAAGCGUGGGGAGCAAACAGG
This 253-nucleotide unclassified non-coding RNA is filed under the name uncultured Alphaproteobacteria bacterium. Its description in RNAcentral is "contains 16S-23S intergenic spacer region". It matches the Rfam family "Bacterial small subunit ribosomal RNA", at positions 524 to 776 of the family's 1533-position model. The record is from RNAcentral. Lineage: Bacteria; Pseudomonadati; Pseudomonadota; Alphaproteobacteria.